Molecule: ribosomal RNA, 510 nt
Filed under: uncultured bacterium
Lineage: Bacteria
Description: partial 16S ribosomal RNA
Rfam family: Bacterial small subunit ribosomal RNA
Source: RNAcentral
GACGAACGCUGGCGGCGUGCUUAACACAUGCAAGUCGAACGAAGAGCGAUGGAAGCUUGCUUCUAUCAAUCUUAGUGGCGAACGGGUGAGUAACGCGUAAUCAACCUGCCCUUCAGAGGGGGACAACAGUUGGAAACGACUGCUAAUACCGCAUACGAUCUAAUCUCGGCAUCGAGGAUAGAUGAAAGGUGGCCUCUACAUGUAAGCUAUCACUGAAGGAGGGGAUUGCGUCUGAUUAGCUAGUUGGAGGGGUAACGGCCCACCAAGGCGAUGAUCAGUAGCCGGUCUGAGAGGAUGAACGGCAACAUUGGGACUGAGACACGGCCCAGACUCCUACGGGAGGCAGCAGUGGGGAAUCUUCCGCAAUGGACGAAAGUCUGACGGAGCAACGCCGCGUGAGCGAUGACGGCCUUCGGGUUGUAAAGCUCUGUUAAUCGGGACGAAAGGCCUUCUUGCGAAUAGUGAGAAGGAUUGACGGUACCGGAAUAGAAAGCCACGGCUAACUACGUG